Molecule: ribosomal RNA, 477 nt
Filed under: uncultured anaerobic ammonium-oxidizing bacterium
Lineage: Bacteria
Description: bacterial SSU rRNA
Rfam family: Bacterial small subunit ribosomal RNA
Source: RNAcentral
UUCGCAAUGCCCGAAAGGGUGACGAAGCGACGCCGCGUGGGUGAGGAAGGCCUUCGGGUUGUAAAGCCCUGUCAGGAGUUAAGAAAUGUAGACUCGCUAAUAUCGGGUCUAUUUGACAAGGGCUCCAAAGGAAGCCACGGCUAACUCUGUGCCAGCAGCCGCGGUAAUACAGAGGUGGCAAGCGUUGUUCGGAAUUAUUGGGCGUAAAGAGCACGUAGGUGGAUUUGUAAGUCAGACGUGAAAGCCUUCUGUUCAACGGAAGAAUUGCAUCUGAAGCUACAAACCUUGAGUGUAGGAGGGGAGAAUGGAACUUCUGGUGGAGCGGUGAAAUGCGUAGAUAUCAGAAGGAACGCCGGCGGCGAAAGCGAUUCUCUGGCCUAUUACUGACACUCAGUGUGCGAAAGCUAGGGGAGCAAACGGGAUUAGAUACCCCGGUAGUCCUAGCCGUAAACGAUGGGCACUAAGUAGAGGGGUUUU